This 445-nucleotide ribosomal RNA is filed under the name uncultured bacterium. RNAcentral describes it as "partial 16S ribosomal RNA". It matches the Rfam family "Bacterial small subunit ribosomal RNA", at positions 354 to 796 of the family's 1533-position model. The record is from RNAcentral.
GUGGGGAAUAUUGGGCAAUGGGCGGGAGCCUGAACCAGCCAAGUCGCGUGAAGGAAGAAGGAUCUAUGGUUCGUAAACUUCUUUUGCAGGGGAAUAAAGUGCAGGACGUGUCCUGUUUUGUAUGUACCCUGAGAAUAAGGAUCGGCUAACUCCGUGCCAGCAGCCGCGGUAAUACGGAGGAUCCGAGCGUUAUCCGGAUUUAUUGGGUUUAAAGGGUGCGUAGGUGGUUUGAUAAGUCAGCGGUGAAAGUUUGCAGCUUAACUGUAAAAAUGCCGUUGAAACUGUCGGACUUGAGUGUAAAUGAGGUAGGCGGAAUGCGUGGUGUAGCGGUGAAAUGCAUAGAUAUCACGCAGAACUCCGAUUGCGAAGGCAGCUUACUAAGCUACAACUGACACUGAAGCACGAAAGCGUGGGGAUCAAACAGGAUUAGAAACCCUGGUAGUCC